RNAcentral lists this ribosomal RNA (498 nucleotides) under uncultured bacterium. RNAcentral describes it as "partial 16S ribosomal RNA". It matches the Rfam family "Bacterial small subunit ribosomal RNA", at positions 27 to 507 of the family's 1533-position model. The record is from RNAcentral.
GGAUGAACGCUGGCGGCGUGCCUAAUACAUGCACGUCGAGCGAACAGACGAGGAGCUUGCUCCUCUGACGUUAGCGGCGGACGGGUGAGUAACACGUGGAUAACCUACCUAUACGACUGGGAUAACUUCGGGAAACCGGAGCUAAUACCGGAGAAUAUAUUGAACCGCAUGGUUCAAUAGUGAAAGACGGUUUUGCUGUCACUUAUAGAUGGAUCCGCGCCGCAUUAGCUAGUUGGUAAGGUAACGGCUUACCAAGGCAACGAUGCGUAGCCGACCUGAGAGGGUGAUCGGCCACACUGGAACUGAGACACGGUCCAGACUCCUACGGGAGGCAGCAGUAGGGAAUCUUCCGCAAUGGGCCAAAUCCUGACGGAGCAACGCCGCGUGAGUGAUGAAGGUCUUCGGAUCGUAAAACUCUGUUAUUAGGGAAGAACAAAUGUGUAAGUAACUAUGCACGUCUUGACGGUACCUAAUCAGAAAGCCACGGCUAACUACGUG